RNAcentral lists this ribosomal RNA (781 nucleotides) under Procambarus simulans. RNAcentral's name for it is "eukaryotic LSU rRNA". The stretch from base 164 to 781 matches the Rfam family "Eukaryotic large subunit ribosomal RNA", at positions 1 to 926 of the family's 3401-position model. The record is from RNAcentral. Lineage: Eukaryota; Metazoa; Arthropoda; Malacostraca; Decapoda; Cambaridae.
GGACGUAACAAAGCGACCCAGGAAUGCUUGGGCGUGCCUCCACCCACGCCGGCGUCGGCGGGCGUAUUUCGCCUCACAGUAGGUCGCCGCGACCCGUUGCUUUUGGGGACGUCGAAGGCCCGGACGGAUUGGUACCCUACCGGCUGGGGAUGCGGCUUCGGCUUCUCCUCUUGUCCGGUGGGCGAAACCGCCGGUGUCCUGGCUGCCCUGCGACGGUCGUAGAGACGAGCCCUUCCCAUUCGUGGGGGGUGGCUCUCGCGGCGUGCAAAAAGUCGGUGAUCCACCCGACCCGUCUUGAAACACGGACCAAGGAGUCUAACAUGUGUGCGAGUCAGUGGGCGCACUAAACCCAGAGGCGUAAUGAAAGUGACACGGGUUCGGCUGUCGCCUCGUGUGGCAGCCGGACUCAGGGCCGAUCCCUCACCGGUUGGCCUCGCCUCUCUCCCGCGUCUCGGUAAGCCGGGUGAGCUAUUUUCCCCGGCCAAUGCUGCGGGGCUCGGGGGGAGGCGGGGUGCGAUGGUGUCCGUAAAAAAGAGCCUGCUGUUGCAGGGGGGCGCAGGCCCGGGACUUGCCAGGACGCCGCGAGACUGUCACUUUGCUGUGAGGCUCCAGGGCCGAUCAGCGGGUCAUGCGUGCAGUCGGCAAGUACCAUGAGCAGACAUGUUGGGACCCGAAAGAUGGUGAACUAUGCCUGGCCAGGAUGAAGCCAGAGGAAACUCUGGUGGAGGUCCGUAGCGAUUCUGACGUGCAAAUCGAUCGUCGGAGCUGGGUAUAGGGGCGA